RNAcentral lists this long non-coding RNA (228 nucleotides) under Elaeis guineensis (African oil palm). RNAcentral's name for it is "long non-coding RNA (EGUI_LNC079259)". The record is from RNAcentral. Lineage: Eukaryota; Viridiplantae; Streptophyta; Magnoliopsida; Arecales; Arecaceae.
UACUAACUCAAAGGAUGUAUCACAGACACAAUGUACACAAUGUGAUAGAAGAAUAACCCUUUUAUUCAUUUAUAGUCAAAAUUAUAAAUUUGCCCUUAGAUCUGUACAGGAAUGUGUCAGCCGAUCUGACAUCUAGGGCACACAUCUAACAUUUAAUUCCAUAAGCUUAAUGCAUUAAUUAAGUCUUAGAUUCAUAAAUAAAACAUGUAAAUUAAAUCCUAGGCUUUC